GCGUGAGAGGCUGCCGGCUCUGUGGUGAUGGUUGUCCUCUUCUGACACUCGGUAGUCUGCAGAUCAUUGCCAAGUACCUCAGUCUCUUAGACUCUCACAACAUUCCUGAGAGACACUGUGCUGGGCUCUGCAGGAGGGGAAGCAAUCUUGAGGAAAGAGGCCAGACCUUGGGGCUCACAAAGGACAUCUUCUAUACCAGGCUAUCAGGAAGCACAAAGGAACAAGAGGAAAGAGAGCUCUCAUGUCUGGCUGGAGCCAUGGAGAUGAACAACUGCAGCCCAAAGAAGCCAAGGGCCUUGCCCCAUGUUGCCCUGUGAAUUAGAACUGCUGUUGAACAGCAGGAGUCACAGAUCACUGGGGCAGAAAGGUCCCAGCAGGUCCUCCAGAAAGCCGAGUGCUACGUAGGUCCUGUAAUAUUGCCACGGGAUUUCAUGCUUAUCUUCAUGCCUGAACUCUUCACAGGAGCCCUUGGCCCACAGAUUCCCAGGGCUGAUCAGAUACAAUGAUAAUAACCUCUUGUCCCCACAGCUUGUGGAGUGACUUGCCCCCUCAGCUCCUCUGACCAGCGAGACUUCACCUUGGAUUUCAGGUCUUGUUCAAGAAUCGCAUUCACCCCACACCUGGGCACUUGCCUGGUGUUUCCUCUCAGCAUGGAGCUGCAGGCAGUAUCUGCAGCUGGCAAGAGACCAGCAGAGGGAGAAAGGGGCUGGCUAACUGGAGUAAUCAUGAAAGGUUCCUGGGGAUAUUCCCAGAGAAGUCACCAAAUCCCCAGCAGAGAGCCUGACAGUUGGUGGGGACAAAGAGAUGGGAUCUGGGAUCCUCCCCAGUGCUGUGCAGCCCAAGCCUAGACCAACACAAGUGCUUGAUGUGGACGGGCGGGGUGGUGCUUGUAAUCCCAGAAGCUUGGGAGGCUGAGGCAGGAGGAUCAUGAGUUCAAAGCCAGCCUCAGCAAUUUAGCAAGGCUCUAAGCAACUCAGCGAGACCCUGUAUCUGAAUAAGAUAUAAAAUAGGGCUGGGGCCAGACGAAUGAGAAGUUAUACUCCAUUUAUGUAUUAUGUGUCAAAAUGCAUUCCACUGUCAUUAUUACUAAUUAGAAUAUAUAUAUAUAUAUUUGUGUGUAUAUAUAUACAUAGAUAUAUAUAUAGAUAUUUGGGCAACUCACUAGGUAGGCGGUGGUAUCACCCCCUAAAACAGGUACAAUUGGCACAUGCCAGUCAGAGACAUGGGGUAACUAAUGUUGAUGGGGCAGGGGUGGGCAUUAGGGAGACAGUAGCCCAGAAACCACCAGAGACCAGUAACCUGGGGUUGGGUGGUUGGUAAGAGUCUAGCCUUAAGAGCAUGUAUAUAGGGGCUUGAGUAGUAGCUCAGAGGUAGAGAGCUUGCCUGGCAUGCAUGAGGCACUGGGUUCAACCCUCAGCACCACAUAAAGUAAAAUAAAGACAUUGUGUUCACCUAUAACUAAAAAAUUUUUUAAAAGCAUAUAUAUUAGGGGGCUGGGGAUGUGGCUCAGUGGUUAAGCGCCCCUUGUUCCCUGUACCCCUGUACCCCUCCCCCAAAAAGUGCUUGAUAUUUAGAACAAACAACUGUAUAUGCAAAUCAUUUGGUAAUCAUAUGCAGAUUCUGUAGGAUGAAGUGGGGUCAGGGAUCCCAGGCAACGGCUGUGAUCCACAGAUGGGUGUGCGCAGUACAGGGUUCUAUAGUACCUACUCUUCAAACUUUCCUAAAGGAACAAUGUUGGACUGAUUUACCUUGCACACCUGCUUCUUGAAGCAGCUCCUUUAUAGACUUGUCUAAUAAAAACCAUCUCAACGCACCAUCUCCACGCACCCUACACGGAUUU
Molecule: long non-coding RNA, 1840 nt
Organism: Marmota monax (woodchuck)
Lineage: Eukaryota; Metazoa; Chordata; Mammalia; Rodentia; Sciuridae
Exons: 3
Source: RefSeq, a predicted model, not a curated record